UGGAACACAAUUUUUUUUUCUGGCUGGCCAAGGGGCAACAACUUUCUGGCGGCACUCACUCGCUCUCUCAUGCCGCACGCUCCACGCUGUUGUUGCUCUGGCUGCUGCUGUUGCGGUUCACUUGGCGGCAAAUUGCUGUUGCAUGGCGAUGAUGUUGUUGUCGCAGUCAAAGUCGGAGUCGAACUCGAAGUCGAACUCGAAGUCGGCGUCGGUGAAACAACAAAGCGAAAAUCUCUGCAUUGGGGCACACGCCAUUCCCAACAUCAAAGCCAGCCGACAGCACACAUUUUCUGAGGUUGCCCGUCGCCACCGUUGGGGCAGCAGCAGCAGCAGCAGCAGCAGCAGCAGCAGCAGCAGCCAGAGAUCUUCUUGGUCUUCCUCUCUGCUGCUCAUUUGUGUGUGUGUGUGUUUGAGGCACAUUGUGCGACGCGCGUGUUAAGUGGACUGUGAAUAUGAAAGGAAAGUUCGUUCGGAGAGUACGGAGCCAGAGCCGCGUUUGCCGCCAAAUAAAUGCGAGAUCCUCAGCUCGCAGCUCGCAGCUCGCAGCUCUCAACUCCUGCUCGUGGUCCUGUCUCCUGGCAGUUCUUAAUCAAGAAACAACGUAUCACGGUAGCACUUUAAACGUAAACGUAAAUUGCUUUUAACAUGGUUAUUACAAUCUUAACGUUUCUCUGCGCCACAAAGCACUUCAGGCAGCGGGGCAACCUGUUGUCGACAUUGUUAGUGUUGCUGCUGCAGAAGAGGCAGCAAUAGAAGUGAGUUCCCCGCGCCCGUGCCCGUCCCUGUGUUCUUUUGCUUUUGUUUGUGCGUCCGUUAGGUCUGGUCUCUCUCUCUCUCGCUCUCUGGUGGUUUGGCAGAUUGUUGUAAUUAUGAUUGCGCGAUUAUGAUUGCCUUGGAUUGAGUUAGUUGUCGGUGAAUUUGGCUUUAAUCGAAAUUGUUUUCGAGUCUGUCUCUCCACCCCCCCCGCUCCGUGCUAAUUAGUCGAGCAACGGCACGGCAAACAUCAAAUAAAAGGUAGAAAUUCGUUUUGGGCUGGGGGACUUAGCAUGGGAUUAAGGGUGUCCUGGAUUAAGUGCCCAGCCCAGCGAUAAUCUUUGCAUUUUUAAAUAUUUCGCAAGAAGAGAACACGCAAAUCCGCUGACUUGUCACACCUUUGGCCUGCCCUGCAGGUAGGCAGGGAGGGAGGUCGGGAUGAGACCCGAAGGUAGCACCUUGUUCAGAUGGCUUGGCACAGAUGUUGAUCAAAGCAACAGCCGCAACGCUGAUUAAAGACAACAACAACAACAGCAGCAGCAGCAGCAGAAAGUGGGAAUUUGUCGCCUUUUGUGGCAGUUGCAUAGCCAUAACCCUGCCACUGCCACUGCGACUGCUUCAGCCUCUGCCGUCAAACGAAAGUAUUUAAUUUCAGGUAAAUUUGUAAGAUAAAUAAUUGUCGCUUACCUGGACCACGACCACGACUACGACCACGACGCGCUUCAAAGAACUUCAUUGUAUUUUUGCAUACAAAUGUUGCAGCCGCGUGUGUGUCCCUCUUCGAGGGGAGAGAACUUUGGCCAAAAGGACCUUCAAAAGGCACCGCGCUCACUGCGAUGGUGUAGAUUAUGGAACGACACAGCCCCGACCUCGACCAUUGUUAGGGCCGCCUGCUGCGCCUGGAUCACAACAGCGGGACACGGACGAUCAAUAAUGCCUCGGCUCAGCGAUGGGCAGCCCUGAAUUUAGGUGGAAACUGAACACUGAACAGUCGCUGAUCCCUCAAAUGUGUAACUGUCAAAACACAAGCCACACACGGCGAACCAUCAUAAUUCGGAGCAGAACGUGAACGGACACUCAACCGAUUGAUGCCUCACUCUAGGUCGGAGUCUGGGCUCUGGGCUCUGGGCUCUGGGCUCUGGUUCUGUGUGGGUCAUUUCCAGCCUUCACAGCUGGGGGCGCUGCAUGAUGACGAAUCGGAAAUGGAAAUGGAAAUGGAUUCUACGAUGCGGCGGCCAUAAUCAAUAAGCCGAGAAGUGUGAGACCCACUUACAACACACUCGACAGUGGGUGCAGAGCAGCUCAAAAGUGGAGCUGGGCAAGAAUUUAAAAAGGGAAAUGCAUAAAUUUGUAUUAUACUUUAUGGCAGAUAAAUUGCUUCAACUUUUUGUCUGUCUUGUUGUAUCUUUUCAACCCAGUUUCAAUACGUUCCAGCCCACUGUGCGUGUGUCGUAGCUCGUAGGCCCAUUGUUCCGUCUCCCACUGUGCACUCAUCAAAUUGUGGCAAGAUUUACGAGGCCCUUGAUUGAGUUUUCUUGUGCUUUGAAUACGGCAAACUUCACACAGGACCACCGAGCGGAUGGCAGACCUGUGGAGAUGCCUGAGCGUUGGGAGAUGCAAGAUUUUGGAAAACGUUUGCUUUCCUGGUAAGAGUUGCCCAUUGUGAUGAUGAUGCCAUGCCAUGCCAUGCCAUGCCAUGCCAUGCCGCUGCUGCCUCUGUUCCCUGCCGAUGAUUAAGAUCAUGAUCAAGAUGGGAAUGGGGAUGGAGGAUGGGGGAUGCCAGCCUCCAACUUCCAAGAUGCUCUUCUCCGUUGUUUAUAAGAUGACAAAUUGCGCUGAUAUCGUAACAUGUUGAUUGAGCGCACACGCGGCAACAUUGUUAACAGAGGAGGAAGGUGGGGACUGCGACUGCGACUGCGACUGGGGAGGGACUUCGGAAGAUCGCUUUCCAGUUCUCUCGGUUCUGGGCUGUGUGCCCCCGGGCCGCUUGCCGCAUGCCGCAUGCCGUUCUGUGCGCGUGCUCGGGUUUGGGUUUGGGUUUGGGUUCGGGAUCGAGUUGGAGUAGCCUCCCGCCGAAGUUGCAGUUGGGGCAGCCGAGCCCAAUGUGGCUGCAGCAUGAAAACUCAGAGAAAUAAAGAAAUAAAUAAAACAGGCAACGGCAUAAAGAUGCCGACAAAGUAAUAAACCAAUUAGGACAUCAAAGUGUUCAACCGACAGCAGCAGCAGCAGCAGCAGCAGCGCAGCAGCAGAGAGCGAGAGAGCGAGAGAGCGUAGAGGCAGCGGCAGACACCGCCAAAGAUCACAGAGAUUUGCGCUGAUCCGACCUGGAUUCUAAGCCACAAAACGCAACCUAUAUCGUCGCAUACUCCUACCCCCCCGGCUCCAGCCGGAGCCUUGUUCUCUUCCUUUUCCCAUUUUUACAUACAUUUUUCUUAGGCGGAAGCGGAGCCCGGGAAAACUCUUCACCAAAGAGUUGAACAAAGGAUUAAGUUGUGCUUAAAUAACAUUUAUUACGUUAUUUUGGGUGAAUAAAUUAUCGGUAUUGGGAGGAUUUAGUCGUGCAUUUUAUAGAUUUCUUCGAUUCCAGGCCAGCUUCAAGUUUCUUUUUGAUUUGGUUUGUCGCGUGGAUUGGCAAGUGAAUGAAGGACUUUGUGUGUAUUCCAAUCAAUUCUAUUUAAUUCUUGUACUUGUGCCCUGUCCGUGGGCUGAGUACUUCUGCCAAUUGAUGACCGUAAACAUGCUGCUCGCCCCGCCAUAAACUAAAAUGUUCCCCUUUUACCUACCGUUUGCCAACUGUUAAAAUCCGAGCAAAAAAUACCUAGAAAGGAAUUUACAUUUUCAAACGUUUACCUGUUUAGGUAGGUUACACUUUAUGGAAUCAUCUGCUUGCCAUUCGGCUCGGCUUUCCCCCCCCUGUCUGGCAAAUGCUGCUUUAGCCAUGCCCUGGACAUCGGGAGCUUCUCUCUCUCUCAUUGAAUCGUUUUUGGGGCAACCUGUCGUCCCUGAGCAAGCAGCAGAUUCCGCAGCUUCCCCUGCAGCGUUAUCAGUUCAAUCAUCGGCGCAUGUGCGCCUACACAGUGGGGCAGGACUGGGCUGGCUGGCAUUCAGCGGCAGAAGCGGCAUUCAUUAAGAAUUUAAAUCGCACAUAAUUAAGGCUCAAUAAAUAGCCGCCACAACUUCAAUAUGGGGCAUAUAUUAAUAACCGCGACUGCGCCAGAGCCCAAGACUGAGAUUGAGACGAAAAACUAAACAAAAACAAACGAUAGCCACGAAGACAAAGAGCGGCAUAAUUAAAUCAUAAGACUUUGAGCACAUCAUUAAAAUCGUUCAAAUCGCUACUCGACUUGAGAACUGGCUUGGGCUGCGCGGAAUCUUUGUUGGACGCAGCGAAAAUACUAAACGAUAUAAAUAAGCAUUUAUAACAUAUGUAGAUAUAAAUAUUCCUACUUAUUUAUGAACAUUUUUGCGUUUAUUAAUUCAAAUGGGAGAGACUUGAUUUGAUUGGAUCAUGGGAUCACGGUGGCAUCAAUGGAGAUGCGCUACGAAAGAUCAGAUGCCAGGGACUCCUCUCCCUGACAAGGGCUGAGCGGAGCUGGAGUUGCUGCUGCUGCUGCUGCUGCUGCCCCUGCCACUGCCACUGCCACGGCACGUGGUAGACGAGAUGCUGGCUUCAAAGGCGCCGGCCACGGCCCACCUAAACGUUCAAAUUGAAUACGAAACAAGUGGAAACGGUAUGCUGUAGGGUUGCGACUAUAAGAUACCCGCUCUUUGGGUAAUGGAAAGUGGUUUAAAAAGUAACCAAAAGUGUCACAAAUAGUUACUAUGUUCUAGAGGGUUUUGUGUCCAAGUUCUGUGUGUUGCAUGCUACAGGUGCACUGGGCAUUUAGCAUCAGCAUUCAGCAUCAGAAUAUAUGUAUAAUCAGGCUGGGCCAGCCUGCGGAGGCGAUGUCCAUAAAACUGGUUGCAAACGCACAUAAACCAUUUAAGCCGAAAAGAAACCGGCAAACUCUAACUCUAACGAUGCUCCAACCCCAUGCGAGUACGAAGCGGAGCCAGCACUUUGAAUGGCAUUUUGUUUGAGUUUUGUUGAAGAAAUCAAUUUGGUUUUCCGACUUCGGACUUGGAAUCGAAAUUGGAAUUUCAAAGAGGCCGCAUUUCAUUUCACAAAGUCAAAACAGUUAAUUUAUAUCAUGUCGCGACUACUGGUCUUACUGAUUUUGCAUUUUCGACAGAGCUCCGGCUGCCGUCUUUCGAAAUUGAAAUAUGAAAAUGAAAUCAAUUUGGGGCCAGAAACCUGAUUAGCUAGCGCCCCCCAGCCACAGCCACAGCGACAGCCACAGCCACUGCAAGCGGAAUUGGAUUUGGAUUUAAAAUUGAAGAUUGAAAUCAAGAUUGAAAUCGAGCGGAGUGGCUGGGGGGUAUACGAAAAUCAAGAGAUCGCAAAUUAGUCACAUUAUAGAUGGACGGACGGACAAUGGAUUACUGCGUAACUGAGUAGCCGCCACAGGACAGGCAAAGGGACAGGCACCGACACUGACUGUCAGCAGGUGCACUGCAUUGCACCUACAUGCACGCACACACACACGUAGUUGGACACCGACAAAGGUGCCGCUGAGCCUGGGCUAAUUUCAAAUUACACACUUCAUUUGUCCGGGACGAGGAAGGAGCAGGGGACGGGGGCAUGGGGACAUGUGUUCGGUUCACUUGCGGCAGCGUGGCUAAGCCGCUUUUGAAGCCACCAACCACAAUUGACAAGCGUGCCCCUCCAAUGCAUUGCUCUGCCCUGAUCCUGCACAUCAAAGUCGCCUCGCCGACCGCCCGCACCUUCGCUCUCUCAGUCAGUCAGUCAGUCAGUCAGUCAGUCAGUCCAGUCACUUGCCUAACGGUCGCUGUCGUAAUGUGCGUGCAAGAUGGAUUUUCGGUGCUCCGUGGGUGUGGCUUAUUUUAAAGCAAUUAAAUCCACAGUGAAGCGUGUCUUCUUCGGCUGCCAUCGACAUCUCUCUGAUGUACGAGGACACUUUGGACUAUUGUCAGUCCGCCUUUCAUCUCGGCGGCAAACAGAUCAUUUGAGAUAAGGAUAUCCCAGCCAUAGAAUUGAUUGGUUGCACCGCAAGAGACGCUCACAAAACGAACCAAACUAUGAUUGAAAUUUAACGGCUGCAAGUUAUAACAGGAAUAACAGCAAGGAAGGUACAAUAAAAACUUUGAAAUGGUUAAAUGCAUUUUUAGUGCAUUCUUUCCGCAAGGAUUUCAAUAAAGCUGCCCGACCAAAGCAACAAAUAAAUACAAUAAAAUUGUAGCUUAAUAGGAGUCGAUUUUAUGGGCAAUGGGCAAGAUAUAAAGGUAUCUCAAGGUAUCAGCCACGAUUCUGUUAAAGUAGAUCCUUAAAAUUCCAUUCCAACUCCAUUAAAUGCUUUUUGUUCUUUUACUUCUACAGGUCCUGCCGGAGAUGGAGGCCCCAAGAGCCAAGCGUGGUUUCUUUCCACAAAUCUGGCCUAUGAGGUGGCUGCCAGCUAUGUCAAUGCCCAAUGGCUGCAUCUGGGCUGCUGCUUGGUACUGCUGCUGGAUAACGAUUGCUUUCAUUUCAGCCAGCAGCGGAAGCUGAGCCACCAGAUGAUCCUAUACUGCACCACACUGGCCUCGGUACCGACAUGGAUGGAUGCGCCAUUUUAUGGCGAAUAAACGCCCUAGAGCUCUGAGGAGGUGCAUGUCCUGGCCCACAAUGCCCAAGUAUUGUCAGCUAGCAGAUUGAGCUGCAAGAAGCAAGCUUUCAUCUGGCAACUCGAACUUCAGUGUCGAUAUUGUGAUAAGCUCUGCGCUGAAAAGGUAAGGCAUACACUCGUAUUGACUCUGCCAGCAGCUCUCCUUAGGGCGCUGAAGGAUGAAGAUUGUACGCGACUGUUGCAGCUCUCCAAUGCCCGCAGAAGAUCAAUGAAGGCUGGUGGCUCGUUAUUGGUGACCAUUUGCUUGCUCUCCAUCAAACGCCUACGUUCCAGCAGAAGGCCAAGCAGUCAAUCUGGAGUUUGUGGCCCCCAUGAGCGAUUCCCAUUUGGGCUGCGAUCGGGAGUACAAUGUCUCCAUCGAUGUGGCGGGUUUGCAGGCUAAGAUUGACAUAAAUCACAUACAUAUGUACAUGCAUGUAAACAUACAUAACUACCCAUUUUGUAUACAAAUGUAAUGAGACGAAUUUGUGUGUGUUCAAAAUAAAUAGCAUACUUUCGGGGUGCUGCAAAGUAAUAUUAAAA
This 6998-nucleotide long non-coding RNA is filed under the name Drosophila guanche. The record is from RNAcentral. Lineage: Eukaryota; Metazoa; Arthropoda; Insecta; Diptera; Drosophilidae.